This 1132-nucleotide ribosomal RNA is filed under the name Klebsiella pneumoniae. RNAcentral's name for it is "bacterial SSU rRNA". It matches the Rfam family "Bacterial small subunit ribosomal RNA", at positions 1 to 1124 of the family's 1533-position model. The record is from RNAcentral. Lineage: Bacteria; Pseudomonadati; Pseudomonadota; Gammaproteobacteria; Enterobacterales; Enterobacteriaceae.
AAAUUGAAGAGUUUGAUCAUGGCUCAGAUUGAACGCUGGCGGCAGGCCUAACACAUGCAAGUCGAGCGGUAGCACAGAGAGCUUGCUCUCGGGUGACGAGCGGCGGACGGGUGAGUAAUGUCUGGGAAACUGCCUGAUGGAGGGGGAUAACUACUGGAAACGGUAGCUAAUACCGCAUAAUGUCGCAAGACCAAAGUGGGGGACCUUCGGGCCUCAUGCCAUCAGAUGUGCCCAGAUGGGAUUAGCUAGUAGGUGGGGUAACGGCUCACCUAGGCGACGAUCCCUAGCUGGUCUGAGAGGAUGACCAGCCACACUGGAACUGAGACACGGUCCAGACUCCUACGGGAGGCAGCAGUGGGGAAUAUUGCACAAUGGGCGCAAGCCUGAUGCAGCCAUGCCGCGUGUGUGAAGAAGGCCUUCGGGUUGUAAAGCACUUUCAGCGGGGAGGAAGGCGAUAAGGUUAAUAACCUUGUCGAUUGACGUUACCCGCAGAAGAAGCACCGGCUAACUCCGUGCCAGCAGCCGCGGUAAUACGGAGGGUGCAAGCGUUAAUCGGAAUUACUGGGCGUAAAGCGCACGCAGGCGGUCUGUCAAGUCGGAUGUGAAAUCCCCGGGCUCAACCUGGGAACUGCAUUCGAAACUGGCAGGCUAGAGUCUUGUAGAGGGGGGUAGAAUUCCAGGUGUAGCGGUGAAAUGCGUAGAGAUCUGGAGGAAUACCGGUGGCGAAGGCGGCCCCCUGGACAAAGACUGACGCUCAGGUGCGAAAGCGUGGGGAGCAAACAGGAUUAGAUACCCUGGUAGUCCACGCCGUAAACGAUGUCGAUUUGGAGGUUGUGCCCUUGAGGCGUGGCUUCCGGAGCUAACGCGUUAAAUCGACCGCCUGGGGAGUACGGCCGCAAGGUUAAAACUCAAAUGAAUUGACGGGGGCCCGCACAAGCGGUGGAGCAUGUGGUUUAAUUCGAUGCAACGCGAAGAACCUUACCUGGUCUUGACAUCCACAGAACUUUCCAGAGAUGGAUUGGUGCCUUCGGGAACUGUGAGACAGGUGCUGCAUGGCUGUCGUCAGCUCGUGUUGUGAAAUGUUGGGUUAAGUCCCGCAACGAGCGCAACCCUUAUCCUUUGUUGCCAGCGG